UGGGGAAUAUUGCACAAUGGGCGAAAGCCUGAUGCAGCAACGCCGCGUGAGCGAUGAAGGCCUUUGGGUCGUAAAGCUCUGUCCUUGGGGAAGAAAAAAAUGACGGUACCCUUGGAGGAAGCCCCGGCUAACUACGUGCCAGCAGCCGCGGUAAUACGUAGGGGGCAAGCGUUAUCCGGAAUUAUUGGGCGUAAAGAGUGCGUAGGUGGUUUUGUAAGCGCGGGGUGAAAGGCAAUAGCUCAACUAUUGUAAGCCCUGCGAACUGUAAGACUUGAGUGCAGGAGAGGAAAGCGGAAUUCCUAGUGUAGCGGUGAAAUGCGUAGAUAUUAGGAGGAACACCAGUGGCGAAGGCGGCUUUCUGGCCUGUAACUGACGCUGAGGCGCGAAAGCGUGGGGAGCAAACA
RNAcentral lists this ribosomal RNA (404 nucleotides) under uncultured bacterium. Its description in RNAcentral is "bacterial SSU rRNA". It matches the Rfam family "Bacterial small subunit ribosomal RNA", at positions 355 to 774 of the family's 1533-position model. The record is from RNAcentral.